RNAcentral lists this ribosomal RNA (301 nucleotides) under uncultured bacterium. Its description in RNAcentral is "partial 16S ribosomal RNA". It matches the Rfam family "Bacterial small subunit ribosomal RNA", at positions 509 to 807 of the family's 1533-position model. The record is from RNAcentral.
CAGCCGCCGCGGGAAUACGUAGGGUGCAAGCGUUAAUCGGAAUUACUGGGCGUAAAGCGUGCGCAGGCGGUUCGCUAAGACAGAUGUGAAAUCCCCGGGCUUAACCUGGGAACUGCAUUUGUGACUGGCGGGCUAGAGUAUGGCAGAGGGGGGUAGAAUUCCACGUGUAGCAGUGAAAUGCGUAGAGAUGUGGAGGAAUACCGAUGGCGAAGGCAGCCCCCUGGGCCAAUACUGACGCUCAUGCACGAAAGCGUGGGGGGCAAACAGGAUUAGAUACCCGCGUAGUCCCUGUCUCUUAUAC